GAGCACUCCUACGGGAGGCAGCAGUGGGGAAUAUUGCACAAUGGGCGCAAGCCUGAUGCAGCCAUGCCGCGUGUAUGAAGAAGGCCUUCGGGUUGUAAAGUACUUUCAGCAGUGAGGAAGGUGGGUAUGUUAAUAGCAUAUUCAUUUGACGUUAGCUGCAGAAGAAGCACCGGCUAACUCCGUGCCAGCAGCCGCGGUAAUACGGAGGGUGCGAGCGUUAAUCGGAAUUACUGGGCGUAAAGCGCAUGCAGGUGGUUUGUUAAGUCAGAUGUGAAAGCCCGGGGCUCAACCUCGGAAUUGCAUUUGAAACUGGCAAACUAGAGUACUGUAGAGGGGGUAGAAUUUCAGGUGUAGCGGUGAAAUGCGUAGAGAUCUGAAGGAAUACCGGUGGCGAAGGCGGCCCCCUGGACAGAUACUGACACUCAGAUGCGAAAGCGUGGGGAGCAAACAGGAUUAGAUACCCUGGUAG
This 469-nucleotide ribosomal RNA is filed under the name uncultured bacterium. RNAcentral's name for it is "bacterial SSU rRNA". It matches the Rfam family "Bacterial small subunit ribosomal RNA", at positions 331 to 793 of the family's 1533-position model. The record is from RNAcentral.